This 643-nucleotide ribosomal RNA is filed under the name uncultured bacterium. RNAcentral's name for it is "bacterial SSU rRNA". It matches the Rfam family "Bacterial small subunit ribosomal RNA", at positions 232 to 885 of the family's 1533-position model. The record is from RNAcentral.
CGCGGCCUAUCAGCUUGUUGGUGAGGUAAUGGCUCACCAAGGCUUCGACGGGUAGCCGGCCUGAGAGGGCGACCGGCCACACUGGGACUGAGAUACGGCCCAGACUCCUACGGGAGGCAGCAGUGGGGAAUAUUGCACAAUGGGCGCAAGCCUGAUGCAGCAACGCCGCGUGCGGGAUGACGGCCUUCGGGUUGUAAACCGCUUUCAGUAGGGACGAAGCUAACGUGACGGUACCUACAGAAGAAGGACCGGCUAACUACGUGCCAGCAGCCGCGGUGAUACGUAGGGUCCGAGCGUUGUCCGGAAUUAUUGGGCGUAAAGGGCUUGUAGGCGGUCCGUCGCGUCAGGAGUGAAAACUCGGGGCUUAACCCCGAGCCUGCUUUUGAUACGGGCGGACUAGAGGGAUGCAGGGGAGAACGGAAUUCCUGGUGGAGCGGUGGAAUGCGCAGAUAUCAGGAGGAACACCGGUGGCGAAGGCGGUUCUCUGGGCAUCACCUGACGCUGAGAAGCGAAAGCGUGAGGAGCAAACAGGCUUAGAUACCCUGGUAGUCCACGCCGUAAACGGUGGGCACUAGGUGUGGGGGACAUUCCACGUUCUCCGUGCCGAAGCUAACGCAUUAAGUGCCCCGCCUGGGGAGUACGG